RNAcentral lists this transfer RNA (68 nucleotides) under Tritia neritea. RNAcentral's name for it is "tRNA-Asn". The record is from RNAcentral. RNAcentral also lists the same sequence under 1 other name. Lineage: Eukaryota; Metazoa; Mollusca; Gastropoda; Neogastropoda; Nassariidae.
UAAGUGAAAGCCAAAGUAGCGGCAUCUAGCUGUUAAUUAGAAGAAUGUAAUAGAUUUUACUCACUUAG